Molecule: ribosomal RNA, 2706 nt
Filed under: Streptococcus pneumoniae
Lineage: Bacteria; Bacillati; Bacillota; Bacilli; Lactobacillales; Streptococcaceae
Description: bacterial LSU rRNA
Rfam family: Bacterial large subunit ribosomal RNA (bases 1-2247)
Source: RNAcentral
UUAAGUUAAUAAGGGCGCACGGUGGAUGCCUUGGCACUAGGAGCCGACGAAGGACGUGACAAACGACGAUAUGCCUUGGGUAGCUGUAAGUAAGCGAUGAUCCAGGGAUUUCCGAAUGGGGGAACCCAACAGGUAGUACCUGUUACCCACAUCUGUUAAGGAUGUGAGGAGGAAGACGCAGUGAACUGAAACAUCUAAGUAGCUGCAGGAAGAGAAAGCAAAAGCGAUUGCCUUAGUAGCGGCGAGCGAAACGGCAGAAGGGCAAACCGAAGAGUUUACUCUUCGGGGUUGUAGGACUGCAAUGUGGACUCAAAGAUUAUAGAAGAAUGAUUUGGGAAGAUCAGCCAAAGAGAGUAAUAGCCUCGUAUUUUAAAUAGUCUUUGUACCUAGCAGUAUCCUGAGUACGGCGGGACACGUGAAAUCCCGUCGGAAUCUGGGAGGACCAUCUCCCAACCCUAAAUACUCCCUAGUGACCGAUAGUGAACCAGUACCGUGAGGGAAAGGUGAAAAGCACCCCGGGAGGGGAGUGAAAUAGAACCUGAAACCGUGUGCCUACAACAAGUUCGAGCCCGUUAAUGGGUGAGAGCGUGCCUUUUGUAGAAUGAACCGGCGAGUUACGUUAUGAUGCGAGGUUAAGUUGAAGAGACGGAGCCGUAGGGAAACCGAGUCUGAAUAGGGCGCCUUAGUAUCAUGACGUAGACCCGAAACCAUGUGACCUACCCAUGAGCAGGUUGAAGGUGCGGUAAGACGCACUGGAGGACCGAACCAGGGCACGUUGAAAAGUGCUUGGAUGACUUGUGGGUAGCGGAGAAAUUCCAAACGAACUUGGAGAUAGCUGGUUCUCUCCGAAAUAGCUUUAGGGCUAGCGUCGACAUUAGAGAUUCUUGGAGGUAGAGCACUGUUUGGGUGAGGGGUCCAUCCCGGAUUACCAAUCUCAGAUAAACUCCGAAUGCCAAAGAAUUAUGGUCGGCAGUCAGACUGCGAGUGCUAAGAUCCGUAGUCGAAAGGGAAACAGCCCAGACCACCAGCUAAGGUCCCAAAAUAAUUGUUAAGUGGAAAAGGAUGUGGGGUUGCACAGACAACUAGGAUGUUAGCUUAGAAGCAGCUAUUCAUUCAAAGAGUGCGUAAUAGCUCACUAGUCGAGUGACCCUGCGCCGAAAAUGUACCGGGGCUAAAACAAUUUACCGAAGCUGUGGAUACCUUUAUAGGUAUGGUAGGAGAGCGUUCUAUGUGUGAUGAAGGUAUACCGUGAGGAGUGCUGGAACGCAUAGAAGUGAGAAUGCCGGUAUGAGUAGCGAAAGACAGGUGAGAAUCCUGUCCACCGUAAGACUAAGGUUUCCAGGGGAAGGCUCGUCCGCCCUGGGUUAGUCGGGACCUAAGGAGAGACCGAAAGGUGUAUCCGAUGGACAACAGGUUGAUAUUCCUGUACUAGAGUAUGUAGUGAUGGAGGGACGCAGUAGGCUAACUAAAGCAGACGAUUGGAAGAGUCUGUCUAAGCAGUGAGGUGUGAAUUGAGUCAAAUGCUUAAUUCUAUAACAUUGAGCUGUGAUGGGGAGCGAAGUUUAGUAGCGAAGUUAGUGACGUCACACUGCCAAGAAAAGCUUCUAGCGUUUAAACAUACUCUACCCGUACCGCAAACCGACACAGGUAGUCGAGGCGAGUAGCCUCAGGUGAGCGAGAGAACUCUCGUUAAGGAACUCGGCAAAAUGACCCCGUAACUUCGGGAGAAGGGGUGCUGACUUAAAGUCAGCCGCAGUGAAUAGGCCCAAGCAACUGUUUAUCAAAAACACAGCUCUCUGCUAAAUCGUAAGAUGAUGUAUAGGGGGUGACGCCUGCCCGGUGCUGGAAGGUUAAGAGGAGUGCUUAGCGUAAGCGAAGGUAUGAAUUGAAGCCCCAGUAAACGGCGGCCGUAACUAUAACGGUCCUAAGGUAGCGAAAUUCCUUGUCGGGUAAGUUCCGACCCGCACGAAAGGCGUAAUGAUUUGGGCACUGUCUCAACGAGAGACUCGGUGAAAUUUUAGUACCUGUGAAGAUGCAGGUUACCCGCGACAGGACGGAAAGACCCCAUGGAGCNUUGAAAAAGUCCAUUUUUUCAAAGGUAAUCCUGUGUUAAUUUCAGAAAUUACAUCACUUUUUGUUCGUCAAAUGGCAGCUCUUUUUUAGGAUAUAAAACAGGGUUCGGAUAAGUUUUUUUGCAAGGUGGAUGAUGGCUACAUUGUAAUGUUUUCCUUGUUCUAACUUAGUCUUAAGAUAGGCCUUAAAAGCAGGUGAAAAGAGAGGGCAUGCUUUGGCAGCUUGUAUGAGUACCUACCGCAGAUGAGGGGAACCCCGUUUGACCAUUCUUCCUGCUAAAUCAAUCUGACCUGACUGAUAAAUAGAAGAAUCCAGUCCAGCGAAAGCUUGUAAUUGAGCAGGAUUAUCAAAGGCAUGAAUAUUUCGAAUCUCGGCUAAAAUGACCGCCCCUAAACGAUUCUCAAUCCCAGUAACCGUCGUGAUGACCGAGUUGAACUCAGCCAUCAAGUCAUUGACACAUUUUUUCGCCUUGUCAAUGAGCCUCUUGUAAUGUUUGAUGUUUUCAUUACAAGAGAUAAAACGUUUAUGCGUUAUCAAACUCAUUACCAAUUGAAACAAAAAGCUGUGGUUAGAUCCUUUCGGAAAUUGUCAAGCGAUUGGAGGAAAUGAACUAAUCCACAGCGGCUUAUUCCA